GUGGGGAAUAUUGGACAAUGGGCGAAAGCCUGAUCCAGCCAUGCCGCGUGUGUGAAGAAGGUCUUCGGAUUGUAAAGCACUUUAAGUUGGGAGGAAGGGCAGUAAGUUAAUACCUUGCUGUUUUGACGUUACCGACAGAAUAAGCACCGGCUAACUUCGUGCCAGCAGCCGCGGUAAUACGAAGGGUGCAAGCGUUAAUCGGAAUUACUGGGCGUAAAGCGCGCGUAGGUGGUGUUGUAAGUUGGAGGUGAAAUCCUCGGGCUCAACCUGGGAACUGCCUCCAAAACUGCAUGACUAGAGUACGGUAGAGGGUAGUGGAAUUUCCUGUGUAGCGGUGAAAUGCGUAGAUAUAGGAAGGAACACCAGUGGCGAAGGCGACUACCUGGACUGAUACUGACACUGAGGUGCGAAAGCGUGGGGAGCAAACAGGAUUAGAAACCCGAGUAGUCC
This 450-nucleotide ribosomal RNA is filed under the name uncultured bacterium. RNAcentral describes it as "partial 16S ribosomal RNA". It matches the Rfam family "Bacterial small subunit ribosomal RNA", at positions 354 to 796 of the family's 1533-position model. The record is from RNAcentral.